This 3159-nucleotide ribosomal RNA is filed under the name Ambystoma mexicanum (axolotl). RNAcentral's name for it is "eukaryotic LSU rRNA". It matches the Rfam family "Eukaryotic large subunit ribosomal RNA". The record is from RNAcentral. Lineage: Eukaryota; Metazoa; Chordata; Amphibia; Caudata; Ambystomatidae.
CUACGGCCUCAGGUCAGACGUGGCGACCCGCUGAAUUUAAGCAUAUUACUAAGUGGGGGAAAAUAUACUAACCAGGAUUCCCUCAGUAACGGCCAUUGUAGAGGGAAGAGCCCAGCACCAAAUCCCUGUUCAGCGGCAGGCGUGGGAAUUGUGGCAUACAGAAGAUCGACUCCCCGGCAUCGCCCAUGGGGCUCAAGUCCUUCUGAUCGAGUCUCACCCUGCGGACGGUGUUAGGCCAGUAGCGGCCUCUGGCACACCGGGAUCAGGUCUUCUUGGAGUCAGGUUGCUUGGGAAUGCAUCCCAAAGCAUGUGGUAAACUCCAUCUAAGGCUAAAUUUGGGCGCAAGACGGAUGGCUAACAAGUACCAUAAGGGAAAGUUGAAAAGAACUUUGAAGAGAGAGUUUUAGUGGGCAUGAAACCGUUGAGAGGUAAACUGGUGGGGUCCAUGAAGUCCGCCUGUCGGAUUCAACACGGCAGGCAAGGCGGUCACAUGGAACAGUGGAUGCUCUCGCGGGACUGCGUCCCGGGCAGACCCGGCCCCCACAAGGUGCAUUUCCUCUGUGGCAGUGCACCGCUACCUGCUGGUAAGGCCCCAGGGGGCAGAGAGUGUUACAGCCCACUGACAGCAGUUUUGCUGUGUCCGGGGGGCCGAGGUAGAUUGACUGCUGCCGUCCCCUUCUCCGGCAACCGUCCUGGCCCCUUCUGGAGUCCCCAAAGCGCCGCCGGGAGACGGGGCUCCCGAUGCAUCUGUGGCAGACUGCCCUCAGUGCGCCCUGACCAUGUUGUGCCGCUGGGCGGGGAGGCCCACAAAGGGGGGUGCCGGGGGUCUGUGGUGAUGUCGGUUAACCACCCAACCUGUCUUGAAACACGGGCCAAGGAGUCUUAACACGUGCGCGAGUCGGAGGGUCAAAUGAAACCAUGUGGUGCAAAGGUGAGGGCCGGCGCGUGCCGAUUGCACUGGGAUCCCGUUGCGGUGGCACCACCGACCCGUCUCGCCCGCUCUGUCAAGAAGAUGGAGCAUCAGCGUGUGUGAUGGGACCCGAAAGAUGGUGAACUAGGCCUUGUGGAGGUCCGUAGUGGUUGUGAUGUUUAAAUUGGCGUCCGACCUGGGUAUAGGGGCGAAAGACUAAUCAAACCAUCUAGUAGCUGGUUCCCUCCGGAGUUUCCCUCAGGAUAGCUGGCGCACGGAAACCCCAGUUUUAUCUGGUAAAGCGAAUGAUUAGAGGUCUUGCUGCCAAAAUAAUCUCAACCUAUUCUCAAACGUUAAAUGGGUAAGAAGCCCGACUCGCUGGCGUGGAGCCGGGCUUUGAAUGCAAGUGGCCAGUGGGUGCCCAACGCUCAUCUGACCCCCAGAAAAGGUGUUGGUGAUAUAUACAGCAGGACGGUGGCCAUGGAAGUCGGAAUCUGCUAAGGAGCCCAGGGGAGAGUUCUCUUUUCUUUGUGAAGGGCAGGACACCCUGGAAUGGGUUUGCCCUGAGAGAGGGGCAGAGCCUUGGAAAGUGUAGCGGUUCUGACGACAUUCUGUGAGCUCUUGCUGGUCCUUGAAAAUCCGGGGGAGAUAGUGUAAAUCUCGCGCUAUACCGUACCCAUAUUUGCAGCAGAUCUCCAAGGUGAACAGUCUCUGACAUGUUGGAACAAUUGUAGGAAAGGGAAGUCAGCAAGUCAGAUCCAUAACUUUGUGAUAAGGAUUGACUCUAAGGGCUGGGUCGGUCGGGCUGGGAAGCGGGGCUGGCGGCGCCGCAGCUGGACGAGGUGUCUCACCCUCCCUCCCCCCGGGAGCAGUGCCAACUCUGGAUGCGAGCCGGCAAUGCCUGUGGAUCGCCCUACUGCGGUGGUCGCUUCUAUCCGUUCCCUCCCGGGUUUGAGGCCGACGUUCUGCCUCAGCCGACGCCUAGGAGCUGACUUAGAACUGGCGCAGACCACGGAAUCUGACUUUAAACAGCCUUCGCGAAGGCCUGCGGUGGGUGUUGUGAUUUCUGCCAGCGCUCUGAAUGUCAAAGUGAAUAAAUUCAAUGAAGCACGGGUAAACGGCAAGAGUAACUAUGACUCUCUUAAGGAAGUCAAAUGCUUCGUCAUCUAAUUAGUGAUGCGCAUGAAUGGAUGAACGAGAUUCCCACUGUUCUACCUACUAUCUAGCGAAACAGCAGCCAAGGGAAUGGGCUUGGCAGAAUCAGUAGGGAAAUAAGACCCAGUUGAGCUUGCCUCUAGUCUGGCACUGUGAAGAAACAUGCAAGGUGUAGGAUAAGUGGGAGGUCCUCGGGUUUCUGGUGAAAUACCACUCAUCUUAUCAUUUUUUCACUUACCCAGUGAGGUGGAGGCAAGCCCCGUGGGGCUCUCACUUCUGGCUCCAAGCACCCGCCGUGUGCGACCCGCUCCGGAGACAGUUGCAGUUGGGGAGAUUGACUGGGGCGAUACACCUGUCAAACAAUAACGCAUGUGACCCAAGGCGAGCUCAGGGAGGACAGAAACCUCCCGUGGAGCAGAAGGCCAAAAGCUCACUUGAUCUCGAUUUUUCAGUAUGAAUACAGACCGUGAAGGUGGGGCCUCACGAUCCUUCUGACGCUUUGGGUUUCAAGCAGGAGGUGUCAGAAAAGUUACCGCAGGGAUAACUGGCUUGUGGUGGCCAAGCCUUCGUAGCGACAUUGCUUUUUGACCCUUCAUUGUCGGCUCUUCCUAUCAUUGUGAAGCAGAAUUCACCAAGCAUUGGAUUGGUCACCCACUAAUAGGGAACGUGAGGUGGGUUUAGACGGUCGUGAGACAGGUUAGUUUUACUCUACUGAUGAUGUGUUGUUGCAAUAGUAAUCCUGCUCAGUACAAGAGGAACCGCAGGUUCAGACAUUUGGUGUAUGUGCUUGGCUGAGGACCAUCUGUGGGAUUAUGACUGAUCACCUCUAAGUCAGAAUCCCCCCUAAACCAUAAAGAUACCGCAGCGCUGUCGAGCCUCGGUUGGCCUAGGAUAUCCGGCCUCUGGGCCAGUGCAUAAAGCCGCUCGCCUCAGGACUUGAGUGUGGACAGAAGGGGCCACCUCUCUCGCCCGUAGUGUACUGCAUGUUUGUGGGGAACCUGGUGCUAAAUCUUUCGUAGACGACCUGAUUCUGGUUCAGGGUUUUGUACGUAGCAGAGCAGCUACCUUGCUGCAAUCUAUUGAAAGUCAUCCUC